ACCAGGUGCUGCUCCACGACCUGCAGCCUGAGCCUUAGCUCGCAUGGCCAUAGCACGUCCCCGUCCAACACCGAGUGAUGAACCUUUGCCCUUGAUUCUGGAUUCUAGCCGCUUGAACAUGGGAGCAUUCUUAAGCAUAUCAGGAAUUAUCAUGAACCUGACUUUGCUGCCUCGAAUAAAAACGUGUUCCAGUUGUGACACCCUUCCAUCUUUGGCAGUGUAAGUUAUGCUUUCGAGCUGACAAUUCCAGUUAUCCUCGCACUCAACCAUACUUCCUCUGUAAAGCUCACCGCUCUUCAUUUCAACGGUUACUAUGUGCCCUGUUGCUUCGUGUAGAAGCUUCACCGGAAUCCCCAAGCUACGACUCAUCGUUAUUAUCCUUCUAGAACCUUCUCUUCUUCUCUGCUAAACCUAAUGGUUGUUUUCCGG
Molecule: unclassified non-coding RNA, 429 nt
Filed under: Hevea brasiliensis (rubber tree)
Lineage: Eukaryota; Viridiplantae; Streptophyta; Magnoliopsida; Malpighiales; Euphorbiaceae
Source: RNAcentral